Xiphophorus hellerii (green swordtail) is the source of this 6661-nucleotide long non-coding RNA. RefSeq lists it as uncharacterized. Lineage: Eukaryota; Metazoa; Chordata; Actinopteri; Cyprinodontiformes; Poeciliidae. The record is from RefSeq and is a predicted model, not a curated record. The transcript has 2 exons.
CUGCCUGAUUCCAGAGCCUCCCUUCCGCUGGUGGGAUGAAACAGGUACUAAGUUUAGAACUGGGAGGGUUGAAUGGUUUUGUCAUCAAAGAGGACGAGGCUAAAAUAAUGAGUGAAAUCCUAGAGUCAAGGAGAUCUUUGUCACCGUGGUCACACCCUGACCUGACGCUCCCCUCCCUUAGUCAACCAGAUGCUUUCAAGAGAAAUCAGUGGCCAAUUAAAAGCACAUAAAACCAUUAACUUUACUUAUUUCAAUACCUGAUGCAGCCUGACUCAACAAUUUAUCUCGCAAUACAGACACCAAAGACUAGUGAUUGUCACUUCGCUGUUACGUAAGCCAGCUGUUCUUAGCCAACAACCCCUCCCACACCCACCAAACUGCUCCGUUUUGCAGAAGAAAGUACAUAAAAUGAGAAAUUCAGGUUUAACCAGGUUUAACAGAAGUACAAAGGUUUAGAGGAAGAUCUGUGUUGGCAGAAAGAGAAACCGUAAGAAUAAACUGGAACAGUUAGAAUAUAUAAACCAACAUAUGCCACAGUUUCUACACCGGAGGAUGCAAAACUGAGAAAUUCAUUUCUUAUAAGUCACGUGGCGUGAUAGAGAAAAAAGAGAGGCCACACCACUCUUGUGAUUAAUGAAUCACAAUGUCUGUGACCCUUUGUACGAACCCAGCAGCUGAUAGAAACUGGAAACGUAACCUCUGAGGUUAGAUUGACCUAAUAUUAGAAAAACGUCACCUCAGCAAUGAGAACUGAAAUUAAACGGCACAUUGCAUGGCAUUAUGAUCGUCACUGUAGUCUCUGCCAACGCAACAUCGCAGCAACAAAGCAGCAUUUGAUAGACUAUCAUGCUGUGCAGUGAAAAUGCAGUUUCACCAUCGCAGAUUUCUUCUCCUUUUGCUUUUAUGUCACACAAAAUAUUUGAAUAACCUGAGUAAAUACAAAAGUUUCAAAAAUGAUGAUUUCAUUUAUUAAAGGUAAAAAACUAUCCAAAUUAUCUAGGUGGAAAUGCAACUGUCCUCAAUGUUAAAUCAUAAAUGAACUGUGAGCGUUUUUGGUUCAGUUUCAUCAACCUCACCAAAGCCAUACAUCUAAAAUCAAUACGUUUCAAAGCAAGACCUGACUGACAACAUGAAAUACGCUAAAAAAUCUCAAAAAGAAACACAUUCAGAAAUUCAGAGUUAGGAAAAUGAUCUACAAUCUGUGUUUUAAUGAUAGUUUAGUACACCCUGGAUGUUUUUGCAUCAGUAACAAGCAUAACAAAUAUAAUUUGCAGAAGGGUAGAUGGUUAAUGUCUGAUAGAAUUGCAUUGCAUUCCAUCAGUGUCAGCAUUUUUUUUCCCUAUUUACUAAAAUCAUCUCUAAAAAGAAAGCUCUAGUAAGUGUAGCUGUUAGCCUUUGAGGAUCUCUUCACUUUUGCUUGCUUCUUUAAUAUCUGUUUGAUGCAAGUUAAGGAAGAAAUGAUGAAAAUAUGUCAGUUUUGUAAACAAAAAUUAUACAUAAUUCUGAAUCUUAACCCUGAAUGUGUUUUCUAAUCAGAAAAUAAAUAUAUUCCUACUCAAUGUUGACUUUUCCAAGAUUUGCAUGCAGAAGUAAAAAGUCUAAGCAGAUUUAUUACGCUUCUAUGAUGUGGAGUUUCUUUAAAUUGGGAGUAAAAAUAUUGGUAAUAUCGGGGUCUUAUUAAUGAGCUACUUUGUAAUGAGAGGCAUGAGUGUGACUUUUAAAUUAGCAUAUAAAUCAUCUUAAUUUUUUGUGUAAUUUUAAUUUCUUUCCUUGGAUUUUGUGUAAAGCUCUUUGGACACAUUGCAUAUGCUAAGGGCUGCAUAAAAAAAAAACGUGCAUUGCCUUACGUGGGCUCCAAAUUGCAAAGAUGCAAGUAAAAUUACAGAGGGGACAAAAAGGUGGAGUCUGCUUUUUACGCUUCAUUUUGCGUCAGUGGGUCUAAAUUAGUGGAUCAUUUCCUCUCUUACUGCCGUUCCCCCAAUGCUACAGGAGCACUUUGCACCAUUUUCAAGCUAUGUUUAACUCAGAAAAGCACCAUCUCUUGUGCAACGUUAAAAACUCCUUUGAUUCACUGUUUAGUGACAUCUCACGCCGAAUGUGCUAAUCAGCUAAACCCUCUUUGCUCGUGACGGUGUGCGUGCAGUAUGGGUUUCAAAGCUCCUACUUGUUUUUGUGCCGAUUUCUCUUUCAUGUUAGGAAGUUGAGCCAACAGACGGAAGCUUAUUGAGGAAAGAUGUGUCAACAGUUCCUGUUCUUCACUUCCUCUCUUCUCAAAGGGAAAGUCUGAGUCCCUGAAAGUGUGUUCAUUUCAUAAACAUAAUUUUUUUUUUUCCAUUUCUGGGAGGAACGUUUCGCAAACUCCAAUAAAGACGCCAUUUGACUUUGAUCUUUCAUAAAACUGCGGCAAAUAUUGAUAAGCGGGACAAGAUGAUUCCACAGAUUGCCGAGCCGUGUGGAGAUUCCUCGGUCCUCCGCUCCUCUGUGACACAGAGAGGACGCUCUGUUGUCCCUGCCAGGGUGAGCUGCGUCCUGUCCCAAGUCACAGGGAUGCCCAACGUCAGCUGGGGCGCCCACCAAGCGCCAAGGAGUCCAGUGCCAUGGCUGAAACCCUGACCCCCUAACCCUAACCCUAUCUCUUUCCACUUGUCUUCAUGCAGAUUAGCACAUCUAAUGUCUAAGUGAGUUUAAUAUAGUCAUCACACAUCAAGUACAAUUUAGGACUUUUUUAUUUUUUAAUCAUAGAUCAGUGUAAUGCAUCAUCCUUAAUCUAUUCCAACUAGCACUCCCAUCAAAACUCUUCAGUUUGGAAGUUGCUACCAACUGAAGAUGGGUUAGCUAUUCUCGGUUUUGCGAGGUGUUCGUUUUGAAGGCAGAUGUAGCUCAGAGAUGCAAGAUGGUAUUUAAAAUAAUUCAGUUUUGACCUCAAGGGUUUUCCACUGCAAUAGGCAAAUUUUAAACCCUCAAAAUAGCACUUUUCUUAACUUUUUUUUUUUUUAGAACAAAACUAGUCAAAGAAUCUGUUUCUGCUUUUGGAGCCUUUUGGACUUUAUUUUUUUAUUUAUAUACUGCCUUAGGUGCGUGACACUUUGUUAGAAAUAAAUCUGAAGCUUUAGCUCCUGCUUUGUUUUGAAGAUUCACUUCACAGCUUGAAGUGAUCGCGUUCGAGACCUGGUCUGUGUUCCCUCUGAAAGCUCUGAUAACAAAUUUCACCGUUCGGUUUGACAUAAUGGCGCCUAAAACUGAAUGGGAGGAUUAGCUUCUUUUUUUGCUUUUUGCAAAAGCGAAAAAUGUAUAUAUGAUGUCAGACAGUUACAAUAGGCUUUACCUUUUUUUCUUAUCAUUUUAAGAUUCUGCAUAGGACUUGUACUGUAUUUUCAUAGGUUUCCAAUCACAUAAAGACACACAGAACUUCUUUUAAACUUAUUCUCUGCGCUAUCACAUGUCAACAAUCAUUACUCUGUGGUUUGCAACAAACAUUUUCUUUAUUUGGACUCACUACAGAUUGGACCAUGAAGCUUUCUAUCACAAACCGAUCAACUGAAGUCAUAUAAUUUCCUACCCUGUAGAAGAAGUUAUCAACAAGAACAAUAGAUGCAAUAGUAGAUGUGACAAGCAUAGUUGCGUUGCAAAAUCAACUAGUAAACACACACGUGCACACGCCCACACACAUGCAUUGUAAGAAUUUAUACUCAAGGGACAGUUUUACAAAACUUUUACUGUUUUAUCAUGGAAAGUGUACUUAGCAUAGGGGUAAUUCAGGAGAUAUAAGUUCAAUAUUGUGUCAAAAAGUCACUUUAUCUAUCCUAUCUGGCCAAACCAAGACUGAAAGGGUAAUUAUAUCUAGUUUCUUUCAGGGAAACCCUGCAAGAAGUAUCUGUAAAAUCAGAGGAACUUCCCCUACUCCAACCUCAGCAGACCAGGCCGCCUUCAGCAUUGUCAAAUCUAAUGUAGCUUCCCGUUUUUUAUUCAAAGUUAGGUUUAAACUCUCAUUGUUCCUUUCUUAUUUGUGUGUGCUGAAUAUUGCCUGUUAUCAAAUGAUAUUUUUAUGAACUGCUUUCUCAUCCAAAGAACCAAAGACACGCUGCAUGUCUGACGUCAUGGCCCAAUGACGAUCCCUAGUCUAUCCCAUUUUGAAGAGUUACUAAGGUCAUGUUUAUGCUGCACAAUCAAUAAGUCACCAAUUUCAACUUAAAAGCCUAAUUUAUAGAAGUAAAGCAAAAAUAAAGAAAUGUUUUUAUUGUUCUUCGUUUUUGGGACUCGCCGUGGCACCAUAAACUUAGCAAAAAUAUGCUUAAUGUUUGAUUAAUGUCUCUGAAAGUUUCAGUAUAAUAUCAUGCAACUACAAUAAAAGUUGCACAAUCUUAUAAGUAGCAGGGGUUGUGUGUAAGUUCAGGAGAAAUUAACGGGUUAAGUUUUUAACCCGUUACUAACCACUGUAUAAUUUUUUAACCCUUGUUAAUCACAGGUGUAACAAGCCUAGAUCAUAAAUGCCCUGAGAGCGUAAUAUCAGUUAAAUGUAUAAUGCAAACUAAUUCAAAGUGUGACGUAAAAUGCCAACAUUCCUACAAUAAAUUUAUUAUAUUUAUUGUGUUAUUAAAACACAACAAAUGCUUAAACAGUCAAAUCUAAAGGAGCAAUUUAUUAUAAUUCAGUUUAAUUCAGUUCAGUAAACAUAGUACCAAGUCCUAACAAGUCGUCUUCAUAAAAGUAAUUUCAAUUCAGUCAUGAUUAUAUUUCAAAUGAUCCUCGUUAUUAAAGUUUUUCAAAUUAGUUAAAAAAGUUCUCUGUCUAAGGAAACCCAGCAGAUCGCACUAAGUCAUUCAUUCCUCCUGGACAAGCAUGUCGUUGCGUUGUUGACUUUACAGCAAUCUCUCCACAUCCACCUUGCAUGUGGCAACAGUGGAGAGUAAACACUUCCCUUUAACAGGAAGUAACCUCCUGCAGAACCAGAACCUGUCUGGCUCAGUUAAUUAUAGUUAAUUAUUUGACUUUAGAUUAUAUUUUAGAAACCUCCCUGGUUAUCUGUGAAAUAUUUUAGCCUGCACUAAAGAAAAUGGCCAAAAUCAAGUUGAUGCUGCAAACACACACACUUCUAAACAAGAUAUUUAACUCUGACUUCCAAGUAGGCUUGACUGAUAUGAAUCUUCAGGGAGUCGCAAAUGUCAUAAUAAAUACCCGUCAUGUUUAUCACCCGCCGCCUGAGCCAGCAGCCAUUCUGCAUUAUCCAGUUUGUUGUGCUGAUGCUGUUCAAUGGAGGGGAGCUGGAGCCAUAAACCACUCAGUGUCUGGCACAGAGGGAGCAAUCCGAGUGUGAUAUUUCAGCUGCUGCAGCCCUGCCACUCAGCCAGCCACUUAAUUCAUAUUUUCCCUAAUUCUUGGCCAAUUUGACAAAUAACCACAGGCAGAAAUGUAAGAGAAGAGCAUCCAUUUAAAAAAUACAAACAAGAAAAGAGCAUUUAAUCCAAUGUGACAUUCCAAAUUUUCCCAUAAAACCACAGCGAUGCAUUUUAGCAGAACAUCUUUAUCCAGAACAGCCGACAUGCUGUGAAAUCACACUUUCUGUAGAUCAUCAGUGACAACUGGUUAUCGGCCAUUUCUCUGUCAGCUCUCUGUUCAGACUUUGACCCCAUUUCCCUUGUCGUGCCAAUGAAGCAAGACGUCUCUCACAUGAGUCUGGCCUCUUUGAUCAGCAUAAACAGUAACCGCUGAAGUGACAUGCAGCCAGGCACCAUGGUUACUCCAUGACACGGGACACCGUAAGUAAGCCUUGUGGUCCUUGUGAUUGUCAUGAGCAGGUAACAGCCUCAAGAUCAGACUCGAUAAACGUUUGAUGUAAAUCUUAGUCUUUCUUGAGAAUAGCAGAAAUUUUUGUGCUUCUUGCAUGUUUUAAGUGAACCCUGUGAGCCAAGCUGGGUUUCAAGCUGGAUCAUUGGACCAGGUGGGAGGCUAGGAGGGAGGGAAACAAAGCCCUGAUGGAGUCCAACACACACAGGGAACAGGCUCAACUUUGUGGCAAGAAUGUGAACGCAGCUCUUGCUUUGGGCAAAAGAGGACUGGAUAGCUGUUAAAAGCCACAAAUUUGAAGAUGGAUGGAGUUAGAUGCUUGCUAGUGCUGUUCAGAAACCUGUUGUUGGCUCCAGCCGACCUGAUCCUGGGGAAGAGGUUCACUUUCCAGUUGGAAGACAAUCACAAACAUGCAGCCAGUGUUAGAAUGGCCCAGCAGACUGAAAUUGAAUUACCAACCUGCUCCAGUCUGACUGAGCUUGAGUUGGUUUGCAAAAAAGUGACAAAAAUGUCAGUUGUCACAGGAGCAAAUGGUUGCUUUACAAAAUUCUGACUCAAAAAGUAUGACUAAAAAUGGAUGCCUUUAUAGUUCUUUUUCUUUGGAAAAACAUAAAAUUUUCUUCCACUUCUCAAUUCCGUGCAACUUUGUGUUGGUCUGUCACACAUUAAAGCCCAAUAAAACACAUUGAAGUUUGGGGUUGGAACGUUGUGAAGUUUUUGAAAUAAAGUUCUAUGGAUGUGAAUAAUUUUACAAGGAACAUCAGGUAAAAAAAAUUUUUAUUAUGUGUAUUUACCCAGGAUUGUUUAAAAUCAAGUCAGUGGCAAUAUCAUCCAAUCAUACACCAAAAACGCAACAAAGACAACCCAAUAAAUGAAU